RNAcentral lists this ribosomal RNA (593 nucleotides) under Candida tropicalis. RNAcentral describes it as "eukaryotic LSU rRNA". It matches the Rfam family "Eukaryotic large subunit ribosomal RNA", at positions 47 to 656 of the family's 3401-position model. The record is from RNAcentral. Lineage: Eukaryota; Fungi; Ascomycota; Pichiomycetes; Serinales; Debaryomycetaceae.
UAAGCGGAGGAAAAGAAACCAACAGGGAUUGCCUUAGUAGCGGCGAGUGAAGCGGCAAAAGCUCAAAUUUGAAAUCUGGCUCUUUCAGAGUCCGAGUUGUAAUUUGAAGAAGGUAUCUUUGGGUCUGGCUCUUGUCUAUGUUUCUUGGAACAGAACGUCACAGAGGGUGAGAAUCCCGUGCGAUGAGAUGAUCCAGGCCUAUGUAAAGUUCCUUCGAAGAGUCGAGUUGUUUGGGAAUGCAGCUCUAAGUGGGUGGUAAAUUCCAUCUAAAGCUAAAUAUUGGCGAGAGACCGAUAGCGAACAAGUACAGUGAUGGAAAGAUGAAAAGAACUUUGAAAAGAGAGUGAAAAAGUACGUGAAAUUGUUGAAAGGGAAGGGCUUGAGAUCAGACUUGGUAUUUUGUAUGUUACUUCUUCGGGGGUGGCCUCUACAGUUUAUCGGGCCAGCAUCAGUUUGGGCGGUAGGAGAAUUGCGUUGGAAUGUGGCACGGCUUCGGUUGUGUGUUAUAGCCUUCGUCGAUACUGCCAGCCUAGACUGAGGACUGCGGUUUAUACCUAGGAUGUUGGCAUAAUGAUCUUAAGUCGCCCGUCUUG